Molecule: long non-coding RNA, 1478 nt
Organism: Triticum dicoccoides
Lineage: Eukaryota; Viridiplantae; Streptophyta; Magnoliopsida; Poales; Poaceae
Exons: 4
Source: RefSeq, a predicted model, not a curated record
AGAUUUCCAGGUGGUGUUUUGGAAUCUAGAUUGAUUUGGUACUGUAUGUUGUGUGAUGUGCCCUUGCCAAGAAUAUUUGAUGUGUGUGAUGACUGAUGACACAAGCAAUUGUAGAGCUGUGAACACCAUGCUUGAUUAGUGGACUGCCGCUUGAGAAGAAGCUUGUCAUUUGUCUCUUCGAGCCGCGGCGGAUAGGGGCCUUCGAAGAACUUGGGGUUUGACAUAGCCAUCAAGGAAGUGCAGGAUACAAACCAAGUGUAAUCAAAGAGGAUAUGGAUUCAGUACGGCCAUGAGUGAAGGAACGCUACUCCAAUUUGGAACUUGGAGAAUGUUUUCUCAGUGUGGUUCAGGUUAAAUUGUUGUCCUACAGUUCCUGCUCAGCCUCCUAAUGUUCUAUGUCUUCGCUGCGCCUUCUUCCAGCUUCUCUAUUGGUUUUCUCUUCAACCGAUGAAAGUGCGUGUUCCUCCCUUCCUCCAAAUCUUCUCCAGCCAUGGUUGUUUGCAUCUGGUCACAGUUGUUUCAUGUUUCACUUUUGUUGGUGGUUCACGCGUCGGCCUUAGUGCUCUAAGAAAACUAGCAUUUCUCAUCUUGGCAAUUGUAUUAUUGGGGCUUUGCUACAUCUAUAGGUUUGAAUCUCAUGUGGCUCCUGCGCCCAGCCACCAUCUCCUCCCUAGCUAAGCAAGAGGUUCGAAGGUCACCGCUACCUCUUCCUUGCCGCCCAGCAGGAGGGGCACUAGGUGUGCCUCAUGUUUAGUUAAUGCCCACUGAUUGUGAUGUUCAUUCUAUGGGGAAUUUUGUUUACUUUUUAUAUUUUGUGCAUUUUCUAUUUCAUGUAUUGGUCAGUGGGCCUAAAUCCCAUGUGAUUUCUUCAUUCUUCGGGCAAAUUACAUAUCAGGAGAGCCAUUUAUUAGAUGAUCUUCUUGAUGGGUUUUUACAUUUGGUUCCUGAUGUGAUGCUUCUCGGGGUUUGCUCACUUCCUUUCUAGCUAGAAAUACCAUAUUUUCCUCUUUGCGUGUACUGACUUGGUGUUUGGUUCGCUGCUUGUCUUAAUAUUCCGGAUUUAGCCGGGCAUCAUGUUUUGUUCAGCCUCAUGCUCCUAAGUGUAUCUCACAUGGUAUAGGAACCUGUCAUGCGGGGACCUUGCCAUUUAUGCUUCUUCUUGAUAAUAGAAGUAUUGAAUAUACCUGUUUCUUCUCCUCAAACAUUUUGGCUAAGUGGCGAUAUUCCAAAUAAAUGGAUGUAUCUUGAACAAAGGAGAUGUCUGAUGGUUUCUUAAUUUCGUUGACUAACUAGGGAGUUCAAGGAUGAUGACUGAAAGUUUUGUCAUUACUGGCUAACACUUGGCGACGAUGUGUCCAUCAGAAAUGAUCGGAUUAUCCUCUGUUGUAUUAUAUUUUCUAAUUUUUUGUAAAUAUGUAUGGAUGUACAUGCACACUCUUUCGAUGUCUGAAAAUGACUGUCAUCCCUCAGUGGGCAAA